RNAcentral lists this ribosomal RNA (252 nucleotides) under uncultured bacterium. RNAcentral describes it as "partial 16S ribosomal RNA". It matches the Rfam family "Bacterial small subunit ribosomal RNA", at positions 524 to 776 of the family's 1533-position model. The record is from RNAcentral.
UACGAAGGGGGCUAGCGUUGCUCGGAAUCACUGGGCGUAAAGCGCACGUAGGCGGAUUGCUAAGUCAGGGGUGAAAUCCUGGAGCUCAACUCCAGAACUGCCUUUGAUACUGGCAACCUUGAGUCCGGGAGAGGUGAGUGGAACUGCGAGUGUAGAGGUGAAAUUCGUAGAUAUUCGCAAGAACACCAGUGGCGAAGGCGGCUCCCUGGCCCGGUACUGACGCUGAGGUGCGAAAGCGUGGGAGCAAACAGG